This 419-nucleotide ribosomal RNA is filed under the name uncultured bacterium. RNAcentral's name for it is "partial 16S ribosomal RNA". It matches the Rfam family "Bacterial small subunit ribosomal RNA", at positions 360 to 776 of the family's 1533-position model. The record is from RNAcentral.
AAUAUUGGUCAAUGGAGGCAACUCUGAACCAGCCACGUCGCGUGAAGGAUGACGGCCCUACGGGUUGUAAACUUCUUUUAUACAGGAAUAAAGUGAGUCACGUGUGACUUUUUGCAUGUACUGUAUGAAUAAGGAUCGGCUAACUCCGUGCCAGCAGCCGCGGUAAUACGGAAGAUCCAAGCGUUAUCCGGAUUUAUUGGGUUUAAAGGGUGCGGAGGGGGAAGAUUAAGGCGGCGGUGAAAUUUUGCAGCUCAACUGUAAAAGGGGCAUCGGUACUGGUUUUCUUGGGGGUUGAUGGAGGAGGCGGAAUUUGUGGUGUAGCGGUGAAAUGCAUAGAUAUCACGAGGAAAUCCGAUUGCGCAGGCCGCUUACUAGGGCAUAACUGACGCUCAGGCACGAAGGCGUUGGGAUCAAACAAG